GAUGAACGCUGGCGGCGUGCCUAACACAUGCAAGUCGAACGGGAACUCCGAGAUGAAGGUUCGCUGGAAUCUUGGAAAUUCUAGUGGCGGACGGGUGAGUAACACGUGAGCAAUCUGCCCUUAAGAGGGGGAUACCAGUUAGAAAUGACUGUUAAUACCGCAUAAGAUAGUAGUAUCGCAUGAUACAGCUAUAAAAGAUUUAUCGCUUAAGGAUGAGCUCGCGUCUGAUUAGCUGGUUGGUGAGGUAACGGCUCACCAAGGCAACGAUCAGUAGCCGGACUGAGAGGUUGGACGGCCACAUUGGGACUGAGACACGGCCCAGACUCC
Molecule: ribosomal RNA, 327 nt
Filed under: uncultured Ruminococcus sp.
Lineage: Bacteria; Bacillati; Bacillota; Clostridia; Eubacteriales; Oscillospiraceae
Description: bacterial SSU rRNA
Rfam family: Bacterial small subunit ribosomal RNA
Source: RNAcentral